GAUGAACGCUGGCGGCGUGCCUAAUACAUGCCAGUCGAGCGAACGGACGAGAAGCUUGCUUCUCUGAUGUUAGCGGCGGACGGGUGAGUAACACGUGGAUAACCUACCUAUAAGACUGGGAUAACUUCGGGAAACCGGAGCUAAUACCGGAUGAUAUUUUGAACCGCAUGGUUCAAAAGUGAAAGACGGUCUUGCUGUCACUUAUAGAUGGAUCCGCGCUGCAUUAGCUAGUUGGUAAGGUAACGGCUUACCAAGGCAACGAUGCAUAGCCGACCUGAGAGGGUGAUCGGCCACACUGGAACUGAGACACGGUCCAGACUCCUACGGGAGGCAGCAGUAGGGAAUCUUCCGCAAUGGGCGAAAGCCUGACGGAGCAACGCCGCGUGAGUGAUGAAGGUCUUCGGAUCGUAAAACUCUGUUAUUAGGGAAGAACAUAUGUGUAAGUAACUGUGCACAUCUUGACGGUACCUAAUCAGAAAGCCACGGCUAACUAUGUG
RNAcentral lists this ribosomal RNA (497 nucleotides) under uncultured bacterium. RNAcentral's name for it is "partial 16S ribosomal RNA". It matches the Rfam family "Bacterial small subunit ribosomal RNA", at positions 28 to 507 of the family's 1533-position model. The record is from RNAcentral.